Molecule: ribosomal RNA, 1988 nt
Filed under: human gut metagenome
Description: bacterial LSU rRNA
Rfam family: Bacterial large subunit ribosomal RNA
Source: RNAcentral
CCGAACCGACUAGUGUUGCAAAAUUAGCGGAUGAGCUGUGGAUAGGGGUGAAAGGCUAAACAAAUCUGGAGAUAGCUGGUUCUCCCCGAAAACUAUUGAGGUAGUGCCUCGUGUAUGGCUCCAGGGGGUAGAGCACUGUUAUGGCUAGGGGGACAUGGCGUCUUACCAAACCAUGGCAAACUCCGAAUACUUGGAAGUCUGAGCACGGGAGACAGAGCACCGGGUGCUAACGUCCGGACUCAAAAGGGAAACAACCCAGACCGCCGGCUAAGGUCCCUAAUAUUGACUAAGUGGAAAACGAAGUGGGAAGGCUAAGACAGUCAGGAAGUUGGCUUAGAAGCAGCCAUCCUUCAAAGAAAGCGUAAUAGCUCACUGAUCGAGUCUUCCUGCGCGGAAGAUGUAACGGGGCUAAGUCAAUAACCGAAGCCGCGGAUUCGCAGCAAUGCGAGUGGUAGGGGAGCGUUCUGUAAGCCUGCGAAGGCGGAUCUGCGAGGACCGCUGGAGGUAUCAGAAGUGCGAAUGCUGACAUGAGUAACGUUAAAGCGGGUGAAAAGCCCGCUCGCCGCAAGCCCAAGGUUUCCUGCUCUACGUUCAUCGGAGCAGGGUGAGUCGGCCCCUAAGGUCAGGCUGAGAAGCGUAGCUGAUGGGAAGCUGGUUAAUAUUCCAGCACCGAUUUCAAGUGCGAAGGGGGGACGGAGUCCUGAAGGUCAUCCGGGUGUUGGAUAUCCCGGUUUACGAGCGUAGGAGGUUGACAGGCAAAUCCGUCAACGAAUCUCCAAGGCGAAGGAUCGAGGUUGAGAGAUCAACUGAAGUGACUGAAUGGGCUUCCAGGAAAAGCCUCUAAGCAUCAGCUUGGAAUUGACCGUACCGCAAACCGACACUGGUGGGCGAGCUGAAUAUGCUCAGGCGCUUGAGAGAACUCAGGAGAAGGAACUCGGCAAAUUGACACCGUAACUUCGGGAUAAGGUGUGCCUUUGUAGUGUGAAGGGAGAAACACCCCGAGCAUGAAGAGGCCUCAGAGAAUCGGUGGCUGCAACUGUUUACUAAAAACACAGCACUCUGCAAAGAUGAAAGUCGACGUAUAGGGUGUGAUGCCUGCCCGGUGCUGGAAGAUUAAUUGAUGGGGUGCAAGCUCCUGAUCGAAGUCCCAGUAAACGGCGGCCGUAACUAUAACGGUCCUAAGGUAGCGAAAUUCCUUGUCGGGCAAGUUCCGACCUGCACGAAUGGCAUAACGAUGGCCACACUGUCUCCUCCUGAGACUCAGUGAAGUUGAAGUGUUUGUGAUGAUGCAAUCUCCCCGCGGCUAGACGGAAAGACCCCAUGAACCUUUACUGUAGCUUUGCAUUGGACUUUGAACCGAUCUGUGUAGGAUAGGCGGGAGCCUGUGAAACCACAACGCCAGUUGUGGCGGAGGCGUCCUUGAAAUACCGCCCUGAUUUGUUUGAGGUUCUAACCUGGGACAGUCAUCCUGUCCGGGGACCGUGCAUGGUAGGCAGUUUGACUGGGGCGGUCUCCUCCUAAAGGGUAACGGAGGAGUGCGAAGGUACGCUAGGUACGGUCGGAAAUCGUGCUGAUAGUGCAAUGGCAAAAGCGUGCUUGACUGCGAGACCGACAAGUCGAGCAGAUACGAAAGUAGGUCAUAGUGAUCCGGUGGCUCUGCAUGGAAGGGCCAUCGCUCAACGGAUAAAAGGUACUCUGGGGAUAACAGGCUGAUACCGCCCAAGAGUUCAUAUCGACGGCGGUGUUUGGCACCUCGAUGUCGGCUCAUCUCAUCCUGGGGCUGUAGCCGGUCCCAAGGGUAUGGCUGUUCGCCAUUUAAAGAGGUACGUGAGCUGGGUUUAAAACGUCGUGAGACAGUUUUGUCCCUAUCUGCCGUGGGCGUUGGAAGAUUGACGGGGGCUGCUCCUAGUACGAGAGGACCGGAGUGGACUCACCUCUGGUGUACCGGUUGUCACGCCAGUGGCAUCGCCGGGUAGCUAUGUGGGGAA